UAUCCGUAGGUGAACCUGCGGAGGGAUCAUUACCAGAGAUGGCGGGCCUCCGUGCCCCCGUCCCCAACCCAUUGUUGACCAAAACCUUUUUGCCUCGGGGGCAGAGCGUCCGCCGCCGCCCCCGGAGGACCACCGAACGCUGUCUCUGUACGUCGGAGUAUUGAUUAAAUGAAUGAAAACUUUCAACAACGGAUCUCUUGGUUCUG
This 206-nucleotide unclassified non-coding RNA is filed under the name plant metagenome. RNAcentral's name for it is "partial contains small subunit ribosomal RNA, internal transcribed spacer 1, and 5.8S ribosomal RNA". The record is from RNAcentral.